This 329-nucleotide unclassified non-coding RNA is filed under the name soil metagenome. RNAcentral's name for it is "partial contains 5.8S ribosomal RNA, internal transcribed spacer 2, and large subunit ribosomal RNA". The stretch from base 1 to 120 matches the Rfam family "5.8S ribosomal RNA", at positions 35 to 154 of the family's 154-position model. The record is from RNAcentral.
GAUGAAGAACGCAGCGAAAUGCGAUAAGUAAUGUGAAUUGCAGAAUUCAGUGAAUCAUCGAAUCUUUGAACGCACAUUGCGCCCCUUGGUAUUCCGAGGGGCAUGCCUGUUCGAGCGUCAUUAUAACCCCUCAAGCUCAGCUUGGUGUUGGGGCCUGCUGCACUGGCAGCCCUUAAAAUCAGUGGCGGCGCCAUCUGGCUCUAAGCGUAGUAAUUCUUCUCGCUAUGGAGUCCUGGUGGAUGCUUGCCAUCAACCCCCAAUUUUUGUAUGGUUGACCUCGGAUCAGGUAGGGAUACCCGCUGAACUUAAGCAUAUCAAUAAGCGGAGGA